AGGCGAACUGGCCCAAUGGAAUAAAGGGAUAAA
RNAcentral lists this transfer RNA (33 nucleotides) under Metzgeria furcata. RNAcentral's name for it is "partial tRNA-His". The record is from RNAcentral. Lineage: Eukaryota; Viridiplantae; Streptophyta; Jungermanniopsida; Metzgeriales; Metzgeriaceae.